GGGAUAUAGCUCAAUAGUUGAGCAUUUGUCUAGCAUGCACGAGGCCCUGGGUUCAAUUCCUAGUGCCACCA
RNAcentral lists this transfer RNA (71 nucleotides) under Heterocephalus glaber (naked mole-rat). It matches the Rfam family "tRNA". From Rfam's summary of the family: Transfer RNA (tRNA) molecules are approximately 80 nucleotides in length. Their secondary structure includes four short double-helical elements and three loops (D, anti-codon, and T loops). The record is from Rfam by way of RNAcentral. Lineage: Eukaryota; Metazoa; Chordata; Mammalia; Rodentia; Bathyergidae.